This is a long non-coding RNA of Aethalodelphis obliquidens (Pacific white-sided dolphin), 328 nucleotides long. RefSeq lists it as uncharacterized. The transcript has 3 exons. The record is from RefSeq and is a predicted model, not a curated record. NCBI's taxonomy places the organism in Eukaryota, Metazoa, Chordata, Mammalia, Artiodactyla, Delphinidae.
UGUAUUCCUGAUGUAUCUAUGCGGAGAAAGGUGAUCUCCGCGUCUUACCCCUCCGCCAUCUUGAAGCUCCUCCUGGAAGCUUUCUCUUAACUGCACUCCCUGCUUCUGCCCAUGGCCCCUGCUGGUCUACAUGUGACACAGCAGCCAGAAUCCUCCUUGAAAUGCAGCCAGAAAAGAAAGGAUCACCUAAUGUUUGAUGCUUCUUGGGCCUGCCUUCUAUGUGGAAGUCUGGGAAAGCCGUCAAUAUGGUCAAUGGGAGAAGUGAGAGUUGGUGCCUAGUAAGAAAUGGAUGGAAGGUGAUUUUGCAGAAAUCAUGAGUGCAAGCAGG